This 447-nucleotide ribosomal RNA is filed under the name Pseudomonas sp. IGS79. RNAcentral describes it as "bacterial SSU rRNA". It matches the Rfam family "Bacterial small subunit ribosomal RNA", at positions 22 to 472 of the family's 1533-position model. The record is from RNAcentral. Lineage: Bacteria; Pseudomonadati; Pseudomonadota; Gammaproteobacteria; Pseudomonadales; Pseudomonadaceae.
GCUCAGAUUGAACGCUGGCGGCAGGCCUAACACAUGCAAGUCGAGCGGAUGAGUGGAGCUUGCUCCAUGAUUCAGCGGCGGACGGGUGAGUAAUGCCUAGGAAUCUGCCUGGUAGUGGGGGACAACGUUUCGAAAGGAACGCUAAUACCGCAUACGUCCUACGGGAGAAAGCAGGGGACCUUCGGGCCUUGCGCUAUCAGAUGAGCCUAGGUCGGAUUAGCUAGUUGGUGAGGUAAAGGCUCACCAAGGCGACGAUCCGUAACUGGUCUGAGAGGAUGAUCAGUCACACUGGAACUGAGACACGGUCCAGACUCCUACGGGAGGCAGCAGUGGGGAAUAUUGGACAAUGGGCGAAAGCCUGAUCCAGCCAUGCCGCGUGUGUGAAGAAGGUCUUCGGAUUGUAAAGCACUUUAAGUUGGGAGGAAGGGCAGUAAGUUAAUACCUUGC